ACUCUUUCCUCUGAAUUGGUAGGUGCUCUAAUGGCUUAUUUUCCAUUUUCUUUGGAGUAGGGAGUGGGGAUAGUAUUACUCUUUCCACUGAAUUGAUAGGUGUUCUAAUAGCUAAUUUUCCAUUUUCUUUGGAGUAGGGGUGGGGAUAGUAUUCUUCUUGCCACUAAACUGAUAAGUGCUCUAAUGGCUAAUUUUCCAUUUUCUUUGGAGUAGGGGGUGGGGAUAGUAUAACUCUUUCCUCUGAAUUGGUAGGUGCUCUAAUGGCUUAUUUUCCAUUUUCUUUGGAGUAGGGGUUGGGGAUAGUAUUACUCUUUCCACUGAAUUGAUAGGUGUUCUAAUGGCUUAUUUUCCAUUUUCUUUGGAGUAGGGGGUGGGGAUAGUAUUACUCUUUCCACUGAAUUGGUAGGUGUUCUAAUGGCUUAUUUUGGGAUAGUAUUACUCUUUCCACUGAAUUGGUAGGUGUUCUAAUGGCUUAUUUUCCAUUUUUGGAGUAGGGGGUGGGGAUAGUAUUACUCUUUCCACUGAAUUGGUAGGUGUUUUAAUGGCUUCCAUUUUCUUUGGAGUAGGGGUGGGGAUAGUAUUACUCUUUCCACUGAAUUGGUAGGUGUUCUAAUGGCUUAUUUUCCAUUUUCUUUGGAGUAGGGGGUGGGGAUAGUAUUACUCUUUCCACUGAACUGAUAGGGUACUCUAAGGGCAUUAUUUGCCAUAGUUUUCACUCCAAAUUUAUUGUUUUUCAUUCCAAAUUUUCAAUUAGUUUAGAUAAUAAAUUAUUGAAAUACUUGAGUAGCCAAUAUGUCACAAAACCAUAUAGUUAUGUUGUUAUACAUAGAAACUUAAAACUUAAAACUUAAAAGGAAAAAAAAGUAAUAAUCAAACAUGAAUUUGAUUGAUUUUUAAAUACCAAAACCAAGUACUGGUUGAUAUUGUACCACAUCAACAAUCUGUAUGAAAUGUUCCUCUCUUAUAAAUGUAUGUGGUUUCUAAAUAUCCUCAGCGUUUCUCACUUUAUGUCAAAGCAAUGGCAGUUUAUUUAUUUAUGUAAAAAUGCACAGACUCCUUGUAAAUGUAUUGGCAUUAUAGGGUAAAUAGUCCUUACAUUUUUUUGUGCAAUAUAGUUAUUAUAUUAACAGUACUACCUUAUAUAUUCUGAGAAAUCCUGCAACUAGUGCAAUAUUGCUGUAAAGUCGACAUGAAAUCCAGAUAGUUGUUAAAUUGUUCUUAUUUUAUUGAUAUUUAUUGUAAAAAGCAAGAAAUUUAUGAAAUGUUGUAAAAACUGUUAUCAUGAUAACAACAGUAUUACAGCCUAUUAGAUCUUUGUUGUAAUCAUGAUCAGUGCAAUCUCAUUGUUA
This 1349-nucleotide long non-coding RNA is filed under the name Mytilus galloprovincialis (Mediterranean mussel). The record is from RNAcentral. Lineage: Eukaryota; Metazoa; Mollusca; Bivalvia; Mytilida; Mytilidae.